GAGUCUCGCCUGCUCAAUGAUGAUUACUCAUUAAAUAGCCGCAGUAUCCUGACUGCGUGAAAGUAGCAUAAUAAUUUGCCUUUUAAUUGGUGGCUGGUAUCAACGGUAUUAUGAGAGUGAAGCUGUCUCUUGCGUAUUCUUUUGAAUUUACCUAUUAGGUGAAAAGGCCUAAAUAGUUUUAUAAGACAAAAAGACCCUAUCAAGCUUUACAGCGUGUAAAAAUGUAAGUAACUUUUAUUUUGCUGUUUGAUUGGGGCAAUCGGGGAGCAAAAAAAAUCUCUCCAUUUUUUCUACCAUUCUAGGAAUGAGCCACGAUUAGUGAUCAAGGGAAAAAGCUACUGUAGGGAUAACAGCGUAAUUUCCUUUGUGAGUUCUUAUUUAAAAGAAAGUUUGCGACCUCGAUGUUGGAUUAAGGUGUCCUGAAGGUGCC
Molecule: ribosomal RNA, 430 nt
Filed under: Scutellastra chapmani
Lineage: Eukaryota; Metazoa; Mollusca; Gastropoda; Patellidae
Description: partial 16S ribosomal RNA
Rfam family: Bacterial large subunit ribosomal RNA
Source: RNAcentral